GCAAACACGAAAGUGGACGUAUACGGUGUGACGCCUGCCCGGUGCUGGAAGGUUAAUUGAUGGGGUCAGCCGCAAGGCGAAGCUCCUGAUCGAAGCCCCAGUAAACGGCGGCCGUAACUAUAACGGUCCUAAGGUAGCGAAAUUCCUUGUCGGGUAAGUUCCGACCUGCACGAAUGGCGUAAUGAUGGCCAGGCUGUCUCCACCCGAGACUCAGUGAAAUUGAACUCGCUGUGAAGAUGCAGUGUACCCGCGGCAAGACGGAAAGACCCCGUGAACCUUUACUAUAGCUUGACACUGAACAUUGAGCCUUGAUGUGUAGGAUAGGUGGGAGGCUUUGAAGUGUGGACGCCAGUCUGCAUGGAGCCAACCUUGAAAUACCACCCUUUAACGUUUGAUGUUCUAACCUAGGCCCAUAAACUGGGUCGGGGACCGUGUCUGGUGGGUAGUUUGACUGGGGCGGUCUCCUCCUAAAGAGUAACGGAGGAGCACGAAGGUUGGCUAAGCAUGGUCGGACAUCAUGCGGUUAGUGCAAAGGCAUAAGCCAGCUUGACUGCGAGAGUGACGGCUCGAGCAGGUACGAAAGUAGGUCUUAGUGAUCCGGUGGUUCUGAAUGGAAGGGCCAUCGCUCAACGGAUAAAAGGUACUCCGGGGAUAACAGGCUGAUACCGCCCAAGAGUUCAUAUCGACGGCGGUGUUUGGCACCUCGAUGUCGGCUCAUCACAUCCUGGGGCUGAAGUAGGUCCCAAGGGUAUGGCUGUUCGCCAUUUAAAGUGGUACGCGAGCUGGGUUUAGAACGUCGUGAGACAGUUCGGUCCCUAUCUGCCGUGGGCGUUGGAAGAUUGAGAGGGGUUGCUCCUAGUACGAGAGGACCGGAGUGAACGCACCACUGGUGUUCGGGUUGUCAUGCCAAUGGCAUUGCCCGGUAGCUAAGUGCGGAAGAGAUAACCGCUGAAAGCAUCUAAGCGGGAAACUUGCC
Molecule: ribosomal RNA, 976 nt
Filed under: Proteus mirabilis
Lineage: Bacteria; Pseudomonadati; Pseudomonadota; Gammaproteobacteria; Enterobacterales; Morganellaceae
Description: partial 23S ribosomal RNA
Rfam family: Bacterial large subunit ribosomal RNA
Source: RNAcentral